GCUCUGUUCGUUUCGGUCCCGGGGGAUUCGGGGUCCCCUUUGGGAUGGGUUUUGGGAUCCGUGAGUCCCCUUUGGAGUCAGUUUUUGGGGUCCCUUGGUCUCCCAUGAUAGGCUUUGGGGAUUAUGGGGUUCCCUUUGGGGUGAGUUUUAGGGUUUCUGGGUCUCAUUUUUGUAGGUUGUGGGGCUCAUUGGUCUUCCAUCAUAGGCUUUGGGGACCCUGGGGUGGGUUUUGGGGUCCUGGGGUCUCCCUCCUGGUAGUUUUUUGGGGUCUCAUGUAUUCUGGGGUCUCCUUUGGGCUGAGUUUUGGGGUCCCUGGGUCCUAUUUUGGUGGGUUUUGGGGUCCUGGGGUCACUUUGCCAUUAGUUUUGAGGCUCUGAGGGGCUCCAAGACCCCCAUUCCCUGUGGGUUUGGGGGCUGUGGGAUCGUGCUUCGGUUUUAGGGUCUCUGAGAUCCCUGUCCUCAUUGGUUUGGAUGCUCUGGGAUCUCUUUUCUUAUGGGAUUUGGAGCUUUAGGAGUUCAGAAGCUUUGGGGUCCCCUUUCCUAUGGGAUUAUAGACAGUGGGAUUUUUUUCCCUUUGGGAUUGCAGGCUCCAGGAUCCCUUUUCCUAUGGGAUUUGGUGCCGUAUGGGCUUAGAGGCUUUGGGAUCCCAUUUCGUAUGGGAUUAUAGCCUACAGGACCCUGUUCUCUGUAGGAUUAUGGCCUCUGGGAUCCCUUUUCUUACGGGGUUUGGAGCUUCGUGGGUCUGGGGGCUUUGGAGUCGCUGUGGGAUUGUAGAACGCAGGACCCUGUUCUCUGUAGGAUGACGGGCUCUGGGGUCCCUUUCCUUACGGGGUUUGGAGCUCUACGGCUUUUUGGGUCCCCGGGGUUCUUUUCCUGGUGGGAUUUACACCCUACACGGCCCUCUGCCCCCCUUCCUACCCCAGCUGGAAUCCUCGCGCCGCCUCUCGGAGAUCCGCGUCCUCCACGAGCGCAGCCGCUCUGCAGCCGAGGAAGCACGGCGCAAGGAGGAGCUCUACAAGCAGCUGUUGGUGGAGCUGGAGGCACUGCCCCGCGACAUCUCCCGCGCCGUCUACACGCAGCGGAUCCUGGAGAUCGUCAGCAACAUCCGCAAGCAGAAGGAGGAGAUUGGGAAGAUUUUGGUGGACACGCGGGCCCUGCAGAAGGAGAUCAACGCGCUGGUGGGGAAACUGGAGCGGACGUUCAGCGUCACCGACGAGCUGCUCUUCAAGGAUGCCAAGCGGGAUGAGGUGGUGAGGAAGGCCUACAAGUACCUGGCAGCUCUGCAUGAG
Long non-coding RNA from Lagopus leucura (white-tailed ptarmigan), 1289 nucleotides. RefSeq lists it as uncharacterized. NCBI's taxonomy places the organism in Eukaryota, Metazoa, Chordata, Aves, Galliformes, Phasianidae. The transcript is spliced from 4 exons. The record is from RefSeq and is a predicted model, not a curated record.